RNAcentral lists this ribosomal RNA (374 nucleotides) under uncultured organism. Its description in RNAcentral is "partial 16S ribosomal RNA". It matches the Rfam family "Bacterial small subunit ribosomal RNA", at positions 527 to 896 of the family's 1533-position model. The record is from RNAcentral.
GUAGGUGGCAAGCGUUGUCCGGAAUUAUUGGGCGUAAAGCGCGCGCAGGCGGUCCUUUAAGUCUGAUGUGAAAGCCCACGGCUCAACCGUGGAGGGUCAUUGGAAACUGGGGGACUUGAGUACAGAAGAGGAAAGCGGAAUUCCAAGUGUAGCGGUGAAAUGCGUAGAGAUUUGGAGGAACACCAGUGGCGAAGGCGGCUUUCUGGUCUGUAACUGACGCUGAGGCGCGAAAGCGUGGGGAGCAAACAGGGAUUAGAUACCCUGGUAGUCCACGCCGUAAACGAUGAGUGCUAAGUGUUAGGGGGGUUUCCGCCCCCUUAGUGCUGCAGCUAACGCAUUAAGCACUCCGCCUGGGGAGUACGGCCGCAAGGCUG